UGGGGAAUUUUGCACAAUGGGGGAAACCCUGAUGCAGCGACGCCGCGUGAUUUAGAAGGCCUUCGGGUUGUAAAAAUCUUUUCUAUGGGAAGAAAAUGACAGUACCAUAGGAAUAAGUACCGGCUAAUUACGUGCCAGCAGCCGCGGUAUUACGUAAGGUCCGAGCGUUGUCCGGAAUCAUUGGGCGUAAAGGGUACGUAGGCGGGUAAGCAAGUUAGAAGUGAAAUCCUAUAGCUCAACUAUAGUAAGCUUUUAAAACUGCUCAUCUUGAGGUAUGGAAGGGAAAGUGGAAUUCCUAGUGUAGCGGUGAAAUGCGCAGAUAUUAGGAGGAAUACCGGUGGCGAAGGCGACUUUCUGGCCAUAACCUGACGCUGAGGUACGAAAGGGUGGGUAGCAAACAGG
This 402-nucleotide ribosomal RNA is filed under the name bacterium. Its description in RNAcentral is "partial 16S ribosomal RNA". It matches the Rfam family "Bacterial small subunit ribosomal RNA", at positions 355 to 776 of the family's 1533-position model. The record is from RNAcentral.